RNAcentral lists this transfer RNA (83 nucleotides) under Lentinus tigrinus ALCF2SS1-7. Its description in RNAcentral is "tRNA-Asn". It matches the Rfam family "tRNA". Rfam says of the family: Transfer RNA (tRNA) molecules are approximately 80 nucleotides in length. Lineage: Eukaryota; Fungi; Basidiomycota; Agaricomycetes; Polyporales; Polyporaceae. The record is from RNAcentral. RNAcentral also lists the same sequence under 1 other name.
UGCCCCAUGGCUGAGUUGGUUACAGCGUCCGACUGUUACCUUUGUAUAUCGGAAGGUCGUGAGUUCGAGCCUCACUGGGGCAG